UAGGGAAUCUUCGGCAAUGGGGGCAACCCUGACCGAGCAACGCCGCGUGAGUGAAGAAGGUUUUCGGAUCGUAAAGCUCUGUUGUAAGAGAAGAACGUGUGUGAGAGUGGAAAGUUCACACAGUGACGGUAACUUACCAGAAAGGGACGGCUAACUACGUGCCAGCAGCCGCGGUAAUACGUAGGUCCCGAGCGUUGUCCGGAUUUAUUGGGCGUAAAGCGAGCGCAGGCGGUUUAAUAAGUCUGAAGUUAAAGGCAGUGGCUUAACCAUUGUUCGCUUUGGAAACUGUUAAACUUGAGGGCAGAAGGGGAGAGUGGAAUUCCAUGUGUAGCGGUGAAAUGCGUAGAUAUAUGGAGGAACACCGGUGGCGAAAGCGGCUCUCUGGUCUGUAACUGACGCUGAGGCUCGAAAGCGUGGGGAGCAAACAGG
Molecule: ribosomal RNA, 429 nt
Filed under: bacterium
Lineage: Bacteria
Description: partial 16S ribosomal RNA
Rfam family: Bacterial small subunit ribosomal RNA
Source: RNAcentral